AUUGAACGCUGGCGGCAGGCCUAACACAUGCAAGUCGAGCGGAUGAAGGGAGCUUGCUCCUGGAUUCAGCGGCGGACGGGUGAGUAAUGCCUAGGAAUCUGCCUGGUAGUGGGGGAUAACGUCCGGAAACGGGCGCUAAUACCGCAUACGUCCUGAGGGAGAAAGUGGGGGAUCUUCGGACCUCACGCUAUCAGAUGAGCCUAGGUCGGAUUAGCUAGUUGGUGGGGUAAAGGCCUACCAAGGCGACGAUCCGUAACUGUCUGAGAGGAUGAUCAGUCACACUGGAACUGAGACACGGUCCAGACUCCUACGGGAGGCAGCAGUGGGGAAUAUUGGACAAUGGGCGAAAGCCUGAUCCAGCCAUGCCGCGUGUGUGAAGAGGGUCUUCGGAUUGUAAAGCACUUUAAGUUGGGAGGAAGGGCAGUAAGUUAAUACCUUGCUGUUUUGACGUUACCAACAGAAUAAGCACCGGCUAACUUCGUG
RNAcentral lists this ribosomal RNA (483 nucleotides) under uncultured bacterium. Its description in RNAcentral is "partial 16S ribosomal RNA". It matches the Rfam family "Bacterial small subunit ribosomal RNA", at positions 30 to 507 of the family's 1533-position model. The record is from RNAcentral.